RNAcentral lists this ribosomal RNA (253 nucleotides) under uncultured bacterium. Its description in RNAcentral is "partial 16S ribosomal RNA". It matches the Rfam family "Bacterial small subunit ribosomal RNA", at positions 524 to 776 of the family's 1533-position model. The record is from RNAcentral.
GACAGAGGGUGCAAACGUUGCUCGGAAUCACUGGGCGUAAAGGGCGUGUAGGCGGGCAGGAAAGUCAGAUGUGAAAUCCCUGGGCUCAACCCAGGAACUGCAUUUGAAACUCCCUUUCUUGAGUGUCGGAGAGGAAAGCGGAAUUCCUGGUGUAGAGGUGAAAUUCGUAGAUAUCAGGAGGAACACCGGUGGCGAAGGCGGCUUUCUGGACGACAACUGACGCUGAGACGCGAAAGCGUGGGGAGCAAACAGG